RNAcentral lists this long non-coding RNA (2486 nucleotides) under Arabidopsis lyrata. RNAcentral's name for it is "long non-coding RNA (ALYR_LNC003073)". Lineage: Eukaryota; Viridiplantae; Streptophyta; Magnoliopsida; Brassicales; Brassicaceae. The record is from RNAcentral.
UAAUAAUUGUUGAUCUGAAGGUGGAGAAAAUGACAACACCAACAUAUACUCUUUUAUGCAUACGAUCAUUCAUGUUCUUACUAUGUUUCAGCAUUGCCUUUGGUCGCAAGAACCUAGAAGAUAAGCUCGGUGACACUCUAUUUGCACCCAAACCUGUUGAAGCAACCGAGCUUAGAGCCGCUUUAGUUACUAAUUCCGAAGCUACCGACAUUUCAAGUAGUAUUGGUUUGGGAGAAGUUGGAAGUCAAGAGAUGCAUCACAUUUACAUAGAAACAAGUAAAGAUUCGAGUCUCGGAAAUAAACAAGACAAUAUAAACUCUGUGCCUAGGAAGAUUAUAAGGGGUACCGUUUCCAUCUCAUUCUCAUUUCCUAUCAUCAAGAUUCAGGUUCCUAUUCCGAAGCCAAAUAUUACGGUGGCUGACAUAAACCAAUUCAAUGAAGAAGAGAUGAGUAAAGGUAUUGUCAUAACUCCAACGAAGACUAAUGAGUUUGGUAUUUCCCUUGGAAAUGACGGUGCAGAGCUCGGAUACAGCUACCAAUAAGCAGCCCCAAGAACCACAAUAUUGAAGGCCUUGCCAGCUUCCUAAGGGUAGGUAGUGCUAAAGAUUGAAGUUACUAUAAAAGCAUAUGAUAAAAUUAUGGUUUUAGAGACAAAGAAGUUGUUGGUGGCCAACGAGUAUAAACAAAAUAUGUAGCGAUUUUGUAACAAAACCUUGCCAAAACGUUUGACUCUAGAAUGAAAAAAGGAUAUAUGUGAAACAUUUUCUUACAUCUAUUUAGUAUGCUGAAAGUAUCUAUGAUUUAUAGUAAAAAUAGUCAUAUACUUAUCUUAAUUACACCUGAGUUUAGGAGAUGUGAAAGAAAAAUGAAAAAAGGAACAACUAAACAUUUCUAUCUUAACAUUCUCUUCUCAUUGGCAAUGCGAGGAUGAUCUUGAGAGUGAGUCUGUUGUUUCUGUCUGUAGCCUUUGAGAAAGUUGUUGGAGAUAUUGAAGCACAAUGUCGCAAGAUUGGUGUUUCAACACUACUAGAAUUUCCACUAGCUCCCCAUUUCGAAUAAGCUCAAGCUCAAGCUCAAGCUCGGUAAUUUGAACUGGAGAUAUGUUUCGGAAACAUCAAGCACCUGGUCAUUGUAAUCUUCAAAACAGAUGCAAUUGUGUAUGGAUUUUGUGUCAAAAAAAUAGUUUGGAUAUAUAUGGAAGAAAGGACAAGACAUUCUAAUAUAGCUUCCAACAUCUCUGUGAAGUUGAGUAUGAGAUCGCUAUAUAUUAUAAUUUAAACGACGGAGAUUGACUAAAUCAAUAUUAUGCUCUCCGAUUUGAUGAAAAUACGCAUUUCUAGACCAGAAAAAAGAAUUAAUACUAUGAUCGGUGUUUGACAUUUUCAUGUAUUCUCUUCUCACUAAUACUCAGGACAUUCUAUCAAUAUAUAGGAUCAAUGGCAUAACAAUUUAUAAUUGCGUUUACCUUUCGCGAUUAAACCAAUAGUUUAAAGACUUGCAAUUUUGUUUACGUUUUGUACGAUGACUUUCAAAUUUGUAGAAAAAAGUUUUCCGUUAAUCAAAAAAUGAUUAAAUAUUUGCUUUGACAACUUCUUUUUCGGGUUGGAAAACCGUAGUUGACAAAAAAAAGGACUAGACGUUUGUUCCUAUUUUUCGCUCAUCAAGAUUAUGCGACCAGAAUAAUAUAAUAAUACAAUUAUACUUAUUAUAAUUUACAUAAAUAUUAAACCUAUAAUAAAUAUCCUUUACAAAAAUAAUGAGCAUUGUGCUAGAAAAUCCUAUCAAACAUAUUUUUAUUUGAUUUUUCAAACAGUCUAGUGUAUACCAUCUUAACAUAUUAAUUUUCUAUUUUAGAGAAGACAAUAUUUCAUAAAAACACGAAUGCGUUUAAAUCUCAACUCAUUCAAACAUUAUGAGCCUAAAUUCAUGGCAUGAAUUCAGUAACAUGAAACUUUUGCAAAUUGAAAUUUUCUCUUUGUACCAUCAAAUUCACACUUUUUUUUUUUCUCUUCUAUUUUUGAACUCAUUGCCUUCUUCUUAUAUAUUAGACAAAUUGUAAAUAACUGCCAAUUUUAAGGUGGAGAAAAUGACAAUACCAACAUAUAACCUUUUAUGCAUAGGAUCAUUCAUGUUCUUACUAUGUUUCAGCAUUACCUUUGGUCGCAAGAACCUAGAAGAUAAGCUCGGUGACACUCUAUUUGCACCCAAACCUGUUGAAGCAACCGAGCUUAGAGCCGCUUUAGUUACUAAUUCCGAAGCUACCGACAUUUCAAGUAGUAUUGGUUUGGGAGAAGUUGGAAGUCAAGAGAUGCAUCACAUUUACAUAGAAACAAGUAAGGAUUCGAGUCUCGGAAAUAAACAAGACAAUAUAAACUCUAUGCCUAGGAAGGUUAUAAGGGGUAUCGUUUCCAUCUCAUUCUCAUUUCCUAUCAUCAAGAUUGGGGUUCCUAUUCCGAAGCCAAAUAUUACGGUGGCUGCCAUAAACC